CUGCCUCACAUGACCCCAAAAUGGAAGACUUCUCUCGCAGCUAAUGAUGCCCUCCUUGCUUAAGAUACAUUUUUGAACAGUCUUUACUUGCAGCACUCACAGGAGGAAUAACAUGUUACAUGAGUAUCUGGAUUCGUUUGGAGAAUAAAUUGAAUCAGAGGAAAUGAUGUAAAGAUACUGGGAUAAAUCAAAUAACCUUUAAAACCAAAGGCCUGAAAAAGUCCUUGAAAGUUUAUUUCUAGCCUAUUUUCGUGCUAAACAUAAGUGCCAAAAUCUACAUUACAUGUGCACUUUCCAGAGGAAAAAAAUCAAUUGCUAAACAUGAAACCAUCACAAUACCUCUAAAGAUAUUGUCAGAGUUCCUAAAAAAGUGAUGAAUCCAAAAUGGUCAUUCCUUGUCUACAUCAGAAGGUAAAAUUAACAUUUUCUGCUGCUUCCCUACCUACUAGACCAGAGAGUCCUAUAAGCUCAUACUUAUCUAAGAUUACUCUAUAUGGCUAGGAAAGGACAAAAAGUAAAGGAUUUUCCAGAUUUAUACUGCUGCUGGUUCUGUGGAACAGUCUUUUCUCUGAGCCUGACAGUCAGUCCUACCCUGGAAGAGAGGGUCUGAGUGAAAAUGAACAAUAAAUAGAAAGAAGAUGUGAUUGUGAAUGAAAAGAAAGCCAGUAAAUGGAUAAUGCAAAAAGGAAAAAUGAAUAAUAUUUACUACCUCAUGAGAUAAUAUGACAUAUUUACAGAUGCCAAUAGGGUGAGGCUCCUAGGCUA
Molecule: non-coding RNA, 765 nt
Organism: Microcebus murinus (gray mouse lemur)
Lineage: Eukaryota; Metazoa; Chordata; Mammalia; Primates; Cheirogaleidae
Source: RefSeq, a predicted model, not a curated record